CCCGAAAUGGGAGUGCGAACCUCCCACACCGAAUAUCUAAGGUUUCCGACGGAAGGUCAGUCCGCGUCGGGUUAGUCGGACCUAAGCCGAGGCCGAAGGGCGUAGGCGAUGGACAACGGGUUAAUAGUCCCGUACUUGCAUGUGGAAGAGCGUAAACCCUUGGUGAAGUCAGAGCCUCUGAGUGGAUUGAGGUGGUAAGCGGAGCAAUACCGUGACGCCGGGCGCAAGCCAGAAGUCUGAGGCACUCCGAGGCGAGAAAAACUACGUUUCUGUUGAAGCAUGUAAACCGUACCGUAAACCGACACAGGUAGAUGGGUUGAGAAUACCACGGUGAACGAGAGAACCUUCGUCAAGGAAUUAGGCAAAAUGGCCCCGUAACUUCGGGAGAAGGGGCACCCGGGCAACCGGGUCGCAGUGAAGAGGCUCUGCCGACUGUUUACCAAAAGCACAGGUCUCUGCCAAGCCGAAAGGCGACGUAUAGGGGCUGACGCCUGCCCAGUGCCGGAAGGUUAAGGGGAUCUGUUCACGCAGAGAACUGAAGCCCCGGUGAACGGCGGCCGUAACUAUAACGGUCCUAAGGUAGCGAAAUUCCUUGUCGGGUAAGUUCCGACCCGCACGAAAGGCGUAACGAGUGGAGCACUGUCUCGACGGAGGACUCGGCGAAAUUGAAGUAUGCGUGAAAAUGCGUAUUCCCCGCAGCAGGACAAAAAGACCCUGUGGAGCUUUACUAUAGCCUGUCAUUGCGUUAGGGUGUUGUCUGUGUAGGAUAGCUGGGAGGCGGAGAAAUCGGGACGCUAGUUUCGAUGGAGCCAACGGUGAAAUACCAGCCUGAUGACAUCUUGACCCUAACCUGCAUGUAACAGCAUGAGAGACAGUGACUGGUGGGUAGUUUGACUGGGGCGGUCGCCUCCAAAAAGGUAACGGAGGCGCUCAAAGGUUGGCUCAGACGGAAUGGAAACCCGUCGUUGCGUGUAAAGGCACAAGCCAGCUUGACUGCGAGAGAGACAGCUCGAGCAGGGACGAAAGUCGGACUUAGUGAUCCUACGGCUCGAAGUGGAACGGCCGUAGCUUACCGGAUAAAAGCUACCCCGGGGAUAACAGGCUAGUCUUGCCCAAGCGCCCAUAGCGACGGCAAGGCUCGGCACCUCGAUGUCGGCUCAUCGCAUCCUGGGGCUGGAUAAGGUCCCAAGGGUUGGGCUGUUCGCCCAUUAAAGCGGUACGUGAGCUGGGUUCAGACCGUCGUGAGACAGGUCGGUCUCUAUCCGCUGUGGGCGUUGGGUAUUUGAGAGGAGCUGCCCCUAGUACGAGAGGACCGGGGUGGACGAAGCGCUCGUGUGUCGGUUGUUGUGCCAACAGCAUAGCCGAGUAGCGACCUUCGGAAGGGAUAACCGCUGAAAGCAUCUAAGUGGGAAGCUCGCCUCAAGAUGAGAUACCCCAGAUCUAAAAGAUCGUAAGACCCCUGGAAGACUACCAGGUUGAUAGGCGGGAGGUGGAAGCGCAGUAAUGUGUGUAGCUGACCCGUACUAAUGGUCGAGGGCU
This 1539-nucleotide ribosomal RNA is filed under the name metagenome. Its description in RNAcentral is "bacterial LSU rRNA". It matches the Rfam family "Bacterial large subunit ribosomal RNA", at positions 1308 to 2925 of the family's 2925-position model. The record is from RNAcentral.